Molecule: ribosomal RNA, 1313 nt
Filed under: human gut metagenome
Description: bacterial LSU rRNA
Rfam family: Bacterial large subunit ribosomal RNA
Source: RNAcentral
AUCCACAGCAAUCCGUACCGCAAACCAACUCAGGUGGGUGGGAUGAACAAUCCUAAGGCGCUCGAGAGAACUCUGGCCAAGGAACUCGGCAAAAUAACCCCGUAACUUCGGAAGAAGGGGUGCUCUCUAGGGUGACAUGUUUAACAUAUGAAGCCCCGGGGAGCCGCAGUGAAUUGGUGGUGGCGACUGUUUACUAAAAACAUAGGUCUGUGCGAAGUCCUAAAGACGACGUAUACGGACUGACGCCUGCCCGGUGCUGGAAGGUUAAAAGGAGGGGUCAGCGCAAGCAAAGCUCCGAAUUGAAGCCCCAGUAAACGGCGGCCGUAACUAUAACGGUCCUAAGGUAGCGAAAUUCCUUGUCGGGUAAGUUCCGACCUGCACGAAUGGCGUAACGAUCUCCACACUGUCUCGGCCAGAGACUCGGUGAAAUUGCAGUCGCGGUGAAAAUUCCGUGUACCCGCAGAAAGACGGAAAGACCCUGUGCACCUUUACUAUAGCUUGACAUUGGAUUUUGGGCCUGCAUGUGUAGGAUAGGUGGGAGGCUGCGAACCCUGUACGCCAGUAUGGGGGGAGCCAUCCUUGAAAUACCACCCUUGCAUGUUUAAGAUCCUAACUUCUUCCGGUUAUCCCGGAGAAAGACAGUGUCUGGCGGGUAGUUUGACUGGGGCGGUCGCCUCCUAAAGUGUAACGGAGGCAUGCAAAGGUUCCCUCAGCCUGAUCGGAAACCAGGCGCUGAGUGCAAACGCAUAAGGGAGCUUGACUGUAAGAGAGACAUCUCGAACAGGAACGAAAGUUGGCGUUAGUGAUCCGGUGGUCCCGUAUGGAAGGGCCAUCGCUCAUUGGAUAAAAGGUACGCCGGGGAUAACAGGCUGAUCGCAUCCAAGAGUUCACAUCGACGAUGCGGUUUGGCACCUCGAUGUCGGCUCAUCACAUCCUGGGGCUGAAGCAGGUCCCAAGGGUACGGCUGUUCGCCGUUUAAAGUGGUACGCGAGCUGGGUUUAAAACGUCGUGAGACAGUUUGGUCCCUAUCUUCUGUGGGCGCAGGAGAAUUGAAAGGGCCUGUCCCUAGUACGAGAGGACCGGGAUGGACGCACCCCUGGUGGACCUGUUGUCGUGCCAACGGCACAGCAGGGUAGCUAUGUGCGGAAGGGAUAACCGCUGAAAGCAUCUAAGCGGGAAGCCUGCCUCAAGAUAAGUUCUCCCUGGAGCAAUCCCUAAAGGGCCGAGGUAGACUACCUCGUUGAUAGGCUGGAGGUGGAAGCGCCGCGAGGUGUGGAGCUGACCAGUACUAAUAGCCCGUGCGGCUUGUGUUU